RNAcentral lists this unclassified non-coding RNA (300 nucleotides) under uncultured Agaricomycetes. RNAcentral describes it as "sequence contains 5.8S rRNA gene, ITS2". The stretch from base 1 to 71 matches the Rfam family "5.8S ribosomal RNA", at positions 84 to 154 of the family's 154-position model. Lineage: Eukaryota; Fungi; Basidiomycota; Agaricomycetes. The record is from RNAcentral.
GUGAAUCAUCGAAUCUUUGAACGCAUCUUGCGCUCCUUGGUAUUCCGAGGAGCAUGCCUGUUUGAGUGUCAUGAAAUCUCUCAAUGAACUUGUUUAUUUUCAUUGGAUUUGGAUGUUGCUGUUGUGGCUCAUCUGAAAUGCAUUAGCUGGCAAGCCUGGGUCUUAAGCUGGGUGUGAUAAUAAUUGAUCACUCAAGCUCCCAAGGGUAUUGACUGCUGAUAAUUGUCCUCGGACAACUCAUGUCGUUUGACCUCAAAUCAGGUAGGACUACCCGCUGAACUUAAGCAUAUCAAUAAGCGG